CGUAGGGUGCAAGCGUUGUCCGGAAUUAUUGGGCGUAAAGAGCUCGUAGGCGGUUUGUCGCGUCGAAUGUGAAAUCCCGGGGCUCAACCCCGGGUCUGCAUUCGAUACGGGCAGACUAGAGUUCGGUAGGGGAGUCUGGAAUUCCUGGUGUAGCGGUGAAAUGCGCAGAUAUCAGGAGGAACACCGGUGGCGAAGGCGGGACUCUGGGCCGAUACUGACGCUGAGGAGCGAAAGCGUGGGGAGCAAACAGGAUU
RNAcentral lists this ribosomal RNA (254 nucleotides) under uncultured bacterium. RNAcentral's name for it is "partial 16S ribosomal RNA". It matches the Rfam family "Bacterial small subunit ribosomal RNA", at positions 526 to 779 of the family's 1533-position model. The record is from RNAcentral.